Molecule: RNA transcript, 4097 nt
Organism: Notolabrus celidotus (New Zealand spotty)
Lineage: Eukaryota; Metazoa; Chordata; Actinopteri; Labriformes; Labridae
Gene name: centrosome and spindle pole-associated protein 1
Exons: 29
Source: RefSeq, a predicted model, not a curated record
AUUCAUGGAAAUUAAUUUCCUUUUUAAAAGCACACAUUAAAGGUACAGAGGGCCCCAGCUGGUGCGUCAAAGCUACUCUGUGUUGUCGCUAACUUUGUGCUGCAGUGUUUACAUCAAAACAAUAUCAGCCGAAAAUAAGUGAGAAUAAAUACACUUUUAAUCAGUGUGUAUGACUGGUAUCUGUAAAGUUGUCUUAAUUUCAGACUUCCGUAUUGUGUUACCUCUCAUAAGGAAACCUGUGUCAUGGUUUCCCAUAGCAACGGAAUGAUGCUUUGCGCCAUGUUGACAGACCUGAGUGUUUGUCAGGUUUCUGCUCUGUGCAGGAGAGUUAUUUAAUAAUGAGGAGUAAUAUAUCUGGUUGUGUUGUGAAUGAAUCACGCGGACACGGCUGAGCUUUUGUUGAGCUUUGGAAACUCAUACAGAUUCGAAGUGUAUUGCUGGUUAAACAACUUUAGUGGACAUGCCUCCAGCUUCAGCAGCACAUGGGAUUUCCACUUAUGCAGACACAGGUCUGGGCUUCAGUUUUCUGCUGGGAACUGACUACGAAAAGAAGAAACAUAAACUACAGCAGGAGCUUCAGCUGGACUACAAACAACACGUUGCCAAGAAAAAAGAGCUGAAAACUAGUGGAACUCAUCCCCAACCCCAGGGUCUUUCCUUACCUAUUGAUGACAACACAUCAGUUCAGGAAAAACUACGAGAGGAGAGGAAGAAAGAAUACAACCUCUUCCUUCAGAAACAAGCUCAAAAUAAAAGGUUAAGGAGGAGUAAACCUGUCGCUGCAGAGGCUCCAGAUGCUGCGUGCAUUUCCCCUCCAGCGUCUCCUCUUCUAAUCCCCAACAUCCUCUCAAACUAUCCCUCUCCUCCCUGGGAGCGCCCUGCAUCCAGGAGAGACGCUGCCACUCUGACUGAGGCAAGGGAUGAUGGAAAAAGAACAGGAGCAUGGAAUCCGGUUCAUCGGGCACGAAGGCGUUGGCAAAUUGUAAGGCAAAAGGAGCCGUACAGCUCUGAGGAGGAGCUGAACUCUGACAGAGAGGAGGUCGUGGAGUUCAGACACAGGAGGAGGCAGGACAGAUACACUCCAGAGCCAGAGUUCAAAGUGGAGAGGAGGACCAGAGAGCGCAGAGCCCACAGAGCUCCUCAGGACACAAAGGAGGUGGAGGCCCCUGGUGGUUAUGAUCAGAACAACAAUGACUUGUUUGGAAAGUCAGAUCUGCAAAUGCCAGACAGAAUGAGGGCAGCUGCAAGAUCAAGACCUGCAACCAGCCGAGAUAAUGCAGAGUUUGCUACUGGACUGAUGAUUGGAGUAACAGAGGAGCGGACGGCCUCUCAGCUGAGGAAAGAACAAUACAAGCAAGAGCUGCUGAAACAAAUUGCUGAACAGCAGAAGAACAAGAAGAGGGAGAAGAAACAGGAGUUGAGGGUUGCUGCUACUGGAGCUACAGACCCUGAGAAAGAGUCGCACAGAAUAAAGCACUAUGGGGUUGUUCAUCCGCUUUAUGACAACUGGAGACCAGACAUCUCCAAAAAACCUGGAAUAGAUCUGGACCCAAAUCCACAGGCGAGGGAUAACAAACCUGAGCAGAACAUCCCUCUAGGAGAAUCUCAUGUGGACUACAGUGCAGCUCUGAGUCAGCUGACAGGACCGCCUGUGCCUGGGCCAGGUGUGAGAGCAGCACAAGGUAUCCCCCAGCUGGACUUCUUUAAUGAGGACUACCAUCGGGACUUCUCAAACAUGCUGGGGGAGGUGAACAUGCCGAGGGUGGCUGCUGUUCCUCCUCCUGUUCCUCCCUCUGUUACUCGUCAUUACAAGACCCCUUAUGAUGCAGCUUAUUUCUACUACGGAGCCAGGAAUCCUUUAGACCCCAGUCUCCCGUACUAUCAAAACGGUGCGUCUGAAGGACAGCAGCAUUCUGGGAAAUAUCACUGUCCUCCUGUCAGACCCAGCGGCCUCACUGAAGCCCUUGAUUGGCACAGAGCAACUCCCCAGAAUGUAGCCAAGGUUCCGUCAGAGAAGUCCCAGCAGAGGAGAGAGAGGGCACUGAGCCACCAAGAAGCACUCAGACAGCAGAUCAAAGAAAGAGAGGAGUGUAGAAGAAGAGAGAAAGAAGAGAAGGAGCGGUAUGAUGCCAAGGUGGAGGCCGAGUUGUUGGCAUACAACCCUUGGGGGAGAAGUGGGGGAGGUGCUCCAAUUAAAGACCAAAACGGCAAGCUUGUCAGUAACCUCACUCAAAUGCACAGGACCAACACGGAGUCCUACAAGACUCCUCUGUCCAGGAAUAGUGGAUACACACAAAGCUUCCUGAUGAGGUCUGUACUCUCUCCAGGAAGGGGAGUCGCCUGCGUGACCCCUCCCCACCAGCUGUCAGGUUUCGCUGAGAAUGAGUACAAAGAAGACCUACAAAAACAGAUAAGGGAAAAAAAGCAACAACAGGAAGCAGAGAGAGAACGAUUAAGGCUUGAGGAGGAGAAAGAAGAGAAGAGACUGGAAGACCAACGGGCCCGCAUGAAGAGGGAUUAUGAGGAGGAGCAGAUGAAGCAUAAGAAGAAGUUGGUGCAAACAGAGGAACAGAGCUGGGUCCAUGAACCAUCAGCAGCACAAUGCAGGAAGGAGGAAAGGAAGGCAAUACAGGAACAGGAGACCAGGAAGAAGGAACCUGAGAGCAACAGGGACAGAGAGGAGAGACAGGCGGUGUUGAAUUAUGAGAGAGAGCCGUCUCCUCCCAUCCCAACGUUACAGAAGAGGCAGACAAAUCCUGUAGAGUCCAGACCUCCCUCUGUCGUGAGCCAACUCUCCUCCAGGACUGAGCGCUAUGCAUCAGCACCAAGCUGUCGAGAAGUCCCUGCAAAACCACCACUGCUACCAGGCAGUGAGCAGGAAGUGAUCAGAGAGCUGUCAGCCCUCCGCAGGUAUCUGAGGAACGAGCAGGGACAACUUGGGGUUCAGCUGAGCUACACAGACUCACAGAGCAGUCACUACCCUCCCCACAGCAGGCCGAAACAACGACCGAGAGUGGAUGCAUUUGAGUCAACGCGGAGGAAAGCUGCUCAGCCAGCAACCAGGAGUUCUCCUUUUGAUGCCGCAUAUUUUAAUAUGCAAAAUAUCCGAGAGUUCAACCAGCUGAAACACAGAGACACAGCAUCCCGAGAGGAGCUCCGUCACAUGUACCCUGACCCUCCCACUGACGCACAAAGUCUGGACAUCCAACAGCAAGCACUUCUUCGGGAACAACGACGCAAAAUCACAAUCAUGAAGAGAGAGGAAGAGCGCGGCUUCUUGGACCAGGAACUGAACUACAAACCUAGGAACAAACCUGGACACCUCUUCCACAGAGACGACGCAUUGCCAUCUCAGAGUGCUUUCAUUGAUGUUUACAGUGGGGAUGCAAGUGAAGAGCAGGUUCAUCAGCAGAGACGUCAGCCUUCAGCUGAGAGCAGAGAGAGGACAGCCGCACGGAGGAGACGUGACUUUGAUGUACCCAAAUCUAUGGAUUUAUGGAGCUGAUCAGAGGCAGCUGACUCUGUGGAUCAGAGAGGCCAUCAGGCUUCACAGGGGACUGAUAGAAAACUCAGAUCUAAAGGCAGACUACAUGACCAGCAUCAGACUCCACAUGGUCACACUGAGGAGCCGUCUGGAGAUGAAGCAGAUGUCUUAUCUCUGCGCUCCGCCCUUGGGAGGCGUGUAUCCGUGGACACUGUUGCCACGGAGCCCUGGCUGCGACCUGGCACAUCAGAUGCUGUGAAACACUCGGUCUGCAGGGAGAGCAGGAUGGAUACUCUACCCAGGCUGACAAACCGUGCCACAUAGCUGCCACUGGCUGCUUUUUUAAAGAAGGGAAACUGCAGAGAGGAGCUCUGAUGGAUCUCCUCGUCUUUGGACGCAGAUUGGGAUUAGACCGGAUGAUGCAGCUUUAAUCGCUCAUUAGAGACCACAGUCUGUCAGAGAACAUGUUCAUGUUUAAUAUCUCUCAGCAUGAAGAAGUGCACUUAGAUUUAAUCAGAGUAAUGAGCAGAACACCUGUGAAUGCACCCUGAACAUAUGUGAGAAUACGUUAAAGGUAUAACAGAUAAUUUUGUAAUAAAAUGUUCUUAUUUAA